AGGACGAACGCUGGCGGCGUGGAUUAGGCAUGCAAGUUGAGCGACGGUUAAGAGCUUGCUCUUAAUACGGAGCAGCGAACGGGUGAGUAACACGUGAACAAUCUGUCCCUUCAUUCCGGAUAAUUGGUCGAAAGGCCUUGUAAUACGGGCGAGGGUCUCUGGAAGGCAUCUUUUGGAGAAGGAAGGCGCAAGCCGUGCAGGGAGGAGUUCGCGGCCUAUCAGUUAGUUGGUGGGGUAAUGGCCUACCAAGACGACGACGGGUAGCUGGU
This 269-nucleotide ribosomal RNA is filed under the name uncultured bacterium. RNAcentral's name for it is "partial small subunit ribosomal RNA". It matches the Rfam family "Bacterial small subunit ribosomal RNA", at positions 26 to 291 of the family's 1533-position model. The record is from RNAcentral.